RNAcentral lists this ribosomal RNA (91 nucleotides) under Fusarium pseudograminearum CS3096. Lineage: Eukaryota; Fungi; Ascomycota; Sordariomycetes; Hypocreales; Nectriaceae. The record is from RNAcentral.
ACGACCAUACCUAUCAGAGAACUCGGGAUCCCGUCCGCUCUCCCAUAGAUAAGCUGGUAAGGGGCGGAUUAGUAGUUGGGUCGGUGACGAC